AGAAAGGCUGUGGUCUUGGGAUAUGUUUCCAUUACAAUAAACACAACAAAUGUACAUGGCUAACAAAGUAAAAGGACUACGGUUUUAUGUGGGAGGACUGCAGGCCAUCAGGAUGGGAUCUGAGCCACUGCGCUCCAGGGAGAGACUGCCACCGCCCAGCACACACAUGCCCAGGACACAGAUAGAGCCGCCGGUCAGCAGAAGAAAGGAUGCUGGAGAAAUUGCCAGCCUGCUGCUUGUGUCUGAUUAACCUUUCCCCUGAACCCCAAACCCCUUACCUACACUAUGUUUCUCCUUAUAAAAAUGGUCAGCUUGAAAUAAAGUGAAGACAGAAGACAUUCUUUUAACUCACACCACUUGCCGUCCUCUCAGAUCGCCAGCAUCUGAGUAAAGCGCCUAUAAAGAU
This is a long non-coding RNA of Phyllostomus discolor (pale spear-nosed bat), 406 nucleotides long. RefSeq lists it as uncharacterized. NCBI's taxonomy places the organism in Eukaryota, Metazoa, Chordata, Mammalia, Chiroptera, Phyllostomidae. The transcript has 2 exons. The record is from RefSeq and is a predicted model, not a curated record.